This 1727-nucleotide long non-coding RNA is filed under the name Homo sapiens (human). RNAcentral's name for it is "HSALNT0031978". The record is from RNAcentral. Lineage: Eukaryota; Metazoa; Chordata; Mammalia; Primates; Hominidae.
CAAAAAAUACAGUAGUCUUCUCAUGGAAAUCCCUCUAACCCUGGAUCUACUGUACACACUCAUUAUUUCAGUUUCCCCACCCCUUCAAUUAUCAUGCAUUUUUAUUCAAAUACAAUGUAAAGCUUCAGCUGAUUUGAAUAGUGUUAGAAACCACAGAAGGGGCUUUCUUUAGAACAUUAAAUGGGGACUGCCUUUCUUGAAUCCAACCUUCUUGAAUAUCACAACUGUUUCUAUCCUGUUUCUAGAGAAAAAGUUCCAUUUUCACAUCUGUCUCUUGCAAAGACAUAACAUGUGCAUAGAAGUAAACUCUGUUAUGCGCCACUGAAGGAUUCAGUAUCUGGAGUCUGAGGGCAUUUUUCUUUAUGUCUACAAUGAGAGAAAUUGGACUAGCUGAGCCUACAGUGCUUCUACUGCAAAAAUGCUGAAAGCAACAGUGUGUUCAGCAAGCUGGAACUAAACUGUUACUGAAUGGAGAGUUCCCAUCCUGCCUCAGUGGAAUCAAAGAAAAGAGAAAGGCUCCAAAAUGAACACAAUGCGUGUUAUUUGCUACCAUAAACUGUGCAACUGGUUUCUACUGCUGUGUUGCAAUUGAAUAGUAAUCAGGAGAAGUUACACGUUGUUCUUAGAAAUAAUACAACGAAUCCUGUCAAUCUUAAGUCCUGACACUGAAUUUAACGCUCUCUGUUUAGUCCUACCAUCAAGGAUGAUUUGCAGGUGAAGAAUUCUUGAUAGUCAGAUGCAGACUACGUCUUCAGAUCCUAUGGCCUAAGGUUAUUAAGGUGGGAGAAGCAAAACAAAUGCGGUUCUCAUCCAGUAAUAAUGGAUUUACAAGAAUUUGAAACAAAACUUUCCUUCCAGCUACUGCUUUCAUGUCAGAGAAAUAAAAUACAUGUACAAGAUUUAAAGCUUUAUGUGUCUAACCCUUUCUGACCCCUUUUACAUUCAGUUAUUAAUAAUAAUAACUAUGAUAAUAUUGCUUAUGCCCAGGGCUGAAAUGAGGGUUAAUUAGUUAAUAUUUAUAAAGCUUUCUGAAAAUGAAAAGUACUGUUUAAGCCCUAAGUGUAUUCUUUUCUUCUUUCACUCUCUUCUUUCAUUUCCUUCUUUUAUCACAGAUCAAUUGAUUCUUCCUCCCAUCUGGCUAAUUUUUUUCACUGGUUAUAUUUCCUGCUCGUUUUGGAUUAUUGCCCUUGACUCCACAUUGACCUCAAUCACUCUUACCCUUCAACAUUGUGUUUGCUCUUUUUGCCUCCCACGCUUUAGUCACUUCUUUCUCACUUUCAUUUCUUCUUUCUAGUCUUCCUUUAUCCACUCCUAACACUAAUCUCGUAGCUGUAGACUUAUCUUUUUCAUUGUCCUCAUUUUUUAAGCAUAGGUGAAAUACCGGAAUUGAUAUAGAUUUAAUUUAAUUUUAUCUCCUAUGUUAUGCAUUAUUGAGACCAGAAAGUAGAUAAAUCAAAUUGGUCAUACCCAAUCCUUUCCUACAAGAUAGUAAAUGUUUUGAAGUCACAGACUAUUGCCAUCUGGAAUAGUCCUUCUUUUGUAACCCAGUAUAAUCUCCACAAAAAUGUUAUUUUUAAAAAAUCCCUCCACUCUAUAACAUUCUGAUGACCUGUAAGCUUUCAAGAAGUCUUCAGUGAAAACCUGUCUCUACUAAAAAUACAAAAAAUUAGCCGGGUGCGGGUGUCGGGCGCCUGUAAUCCCAGCUACUCAGGAGGCUGAGGCGGGAG